Molecule: ribosomal RNA, 466 nt
Filed under: uncultured bacterium
Lineage: Bacteria
Description: bacterial SSU rRNA
Rfam family: Bacterial small subunit ribosomal RNA
Source: RNAcentral
UCCAGACUCCUACGGGAGGCAGCAGUGAGGAAUAUUGGUCAAUGGCCGGAAGGCUGAACCAGCCAAGCCGCGUGAAGGACGAAGGUGCCAAGCAUUGUAAACUUCUUUUGUCAAGGGACAAAAUCAGGCUCGAGAGCCUGACCGAGGGUACUUGAAGAAAAAGCAUCGGCUAACUCCGUGCCAGCAGCCGCGGUAAUACGGAGGAUGCGAGCGUUAUCCGGAUUUAUUGGGUUUAAAGGGUGCGUAGGCGGCGCUUCAGGUCAGCGGUGAAAUACCGGGGCUCAACCCCGGGGCUGCCGUUGAAACUGGCAGUCUCGAGUUGGAGAGAAGUAUGCGGAAUGCGCGGUGUAGCGGUGAAAUGCAUAGAUAUCGCGCAGAACUCCGAUUGCGAAGGCAGCAUGCCGGCUCCACACUGACGCUCAUGCACGAAAGCGUGGGUAUCGAACAGGAUUAGAUACCCCCGUAA